UUAUUUUGAUCAACUGUUCUGUCUUCCUUCUCAUGUUCAACGACACCACACGUCUGCCUCAGGCGGGGCAGUGUGAGACUUAUCCUUUUGAAAUAACUGCAGAGAACUCACAUUAGUGGGUUUGUGGACUUCCCUCCAUCUUGGACACAAACCAGCAGUGUAGUUAGUACACCAGCCUCGAAGCGGACUCGAUGUGGGACGGCUUUAGAACCCGCUCCCGCUGAUGCUGACUGGCCGGGAGAAGGCGCGGACAGGAGGAGGGUGUGGGGAGUUCACACGGAGUCGAGCCCCAGUGUCAAAGGGGACAGAGUCAGCUCGGCGGUGGUCUGAAGCGGCGGCGGAGGAGUCAGGUGAGACGGGUUCAUCGCGUCUUCCUCUCUGUGUCACGUGAUUGGGGUUUGUCCCGCAGGUGUUUCUGUUUGUCGUGUCCGGUUUGUCCACCGGAUGGAGACAAACUCCAGGAAACACUUCGACUCUGGUUCUGACGAAGCCCCAGUCUGAACCCUGUCCACUUCAAAUAUCUGAUUCACUUCACCGACAACAGUCAGAGCUCAGACUGAAAACCUGCUGGACACUACAACAAAAUGCACACAGACUUUUUCACCGCUGCAAAACGUUAAAAUACAUUUCGGAAGAUGAUCCCACAGCUGCAGCGAGAGCCCGGACAACAACAACGUCGAAAAUGCCGCAAAUCUGUCAAGUUUCAUUGUCCGAGACGAUCGAGAGUUACACUUUGAAUCUGAUGGUGCACGUGUUGUUCCUGGAAAGGAGGAAGAAUUAAAUGAAGAAAGAACCUGUUGUCAUCCAGCAGGAGCUGUGGGUCCAAAAUCUUUGUCAAAUUUACAAUAAAAGUCCAGUAGCUCACUUUGUUCUGUCCUGAUGAAGAGGAUGAGGACAAGUCAGCAGAUUAAAAACAGAGGACACACCAGGUUUGGACAUCUGGAGCUGCCAGUCAAACCUGAAUUAAUUAACCUCCUCUGUUAAUUAAUUGAAGACACGUCAGGUUCAAU
Xiphias gladius (swordfish) is the source of this 1010-nucleotide long non-coding RNA. RefSeq lists it as uncharacterized. The record is from RefSeq and is a predicted model, not a curated record. Lineage: Eukaryota; Metazoa; Chordata; Actinopteri; Istiophoriformes; Xiphiidae. The transcript is spliced from 3 exons.